AUUGAACGCUGGCGGCAUGCUUUACACAUGCCAGUCGAACGGUAACAGGCCGCAAGGUGCUGACGAGUGGCGAACGGGUGAGUAAUGCAUCGGAACGUGCCCAGUCGUGGGGGAUAACUACUCGAAAGAGUAGCUAAUACCGCAUACGAUCUAUGGAUGAAAGCGGGGGACCGUAAGGCCUCGCGCGAUUGGAGCGGCCGAUGUCGGAUUAGGUAGUUGGUGGGGUAAAGGCUCACCAAGCCAACGAUCUGUAGCUGGUCUGAGAGGACGACCAGCCACACUGGGACUGAGACACGGCCCAGACUCCUACGGGAGGCAGCAGUGGGGAAUUUUGGACAAUGGGCGCAAGCCUGAUCCAGCAAUGCCGCGUGCAGGAAGAAGGCCUUCGGGUUGUAAACUGCUUUUGUACGGAACGAAACGGCUCUGGUUAAUACCCGGGGCUAAUGACGGUACCGUAAGAAUAAGCACCGGCUAACUACGUG
RNAcentral lists this ribosomal RNA (482 nucleotides) under uncultured bacterium. RNAcentral describes it as "partial 16S ribosomal RNA". It matches the Rfam family "Bacterial small subunit ribosomal RNA", at positions 30 to 507 of the family's 1533-position model. The record is from RNAcentral.